GUCCACGCCGUAAACGAUGUCAACUAGCCGUUGGGAGCCUUGAGCUCUUAGUGGCGCAGCUAACGCAUUAAGUUGACCGCCUGGGGAGUACGGCCGCAAGGUUAAAACUCAAAUGAAUUGACGGGGGCCAGCACAAGCGGUGGAGCAUGUGGUUUAAUUCGAAGCAACGCGAAGAACCUUACCAGGCCUUGACAUCCAAUGAACUUUCCAGAGAUGGAUCGGUGCCUUCGGGAGCAUUGAGACAGGUGCUGCAUGGCUGUCGU
Molecule: ribosomal RNA, 263 nt
Filed under: uncultured bacterium
Lineage: Bacteria
Description: partial 16S ribosomal RNA
Rfam family: Bacterial small subunit ribosomal RNA
Source: RNAcentral